CGUGAGCUAGGCCUCGAGGCGAUGGCGCGCUGAAAACAUGAAUUCGACUUUUUAUUCUGUUGUACAUCUCCUCAUCUCCUCCAAAUGAUCCAUGGUUUUUCUUAAAAACGAAGUAGUGUCGACAACUUGACUGUCAAAGCGAAACUCGGACAAAUGUUACAUUACAUGUAAAACAACUAAGAAUAGCAAUGAACGGUGCUGUUAUUACAGGUACUCCGAUAGCAGUUGACUAUUGGCGAUGUCAUAAGUCUCCAUGCAGCAAAGUGUUCUUCUUGUCCCAUGCCCAUUCAGACCACACCAGCGGUUUAUCUUCAACAUGGCGUUACCCAAUCUACUGCUCAGAGGUUACGGGAAAGGUUGUAGUUGCCAAGUGUGAGGUGAAGCAAUCACUCAUCAAGUCUCUAUCAGUAGGAAGCAGACACAUCAUUCCUCUAGAUGAGAGUGGAAAGGAAACCAUGACCGUUACUCUUAUUGAUGCAAAUCACUGUCCAGGUUCUACCAUGUUCCUGUUUGAAGGUUACUUUGGACGUUUCCUUUACACAGGUGAUUUCCGCUACCAUCCAUCUAUGUUUCCAAACACUCUCCUCGGGCUGAAUCGUCCAGUGGAUAGACUGUACCUUGACAACACCUACAACAGUCCCAAUAAUGACUUUCCAGGGGAAGAUGAUUGCAAGGUAAAGAUCAUGGAAGUUUUAGCUGAGUACCCCUACACAAAUGUUGUACUUGGUAUGCACCAGCUUGGAAAAGAAGACCUCUUGGUCGAUAUUGCAGAGUUCUAUGGGGAGAAGAUUCAAGUGACCCCUGAACGAAUGUCAGUUAUUAAACUACUGGACUGCAAAGAUGUGUUCACAACAUGUGAGGAAAGGAUCAGGGUGGUACCAGUACACACUAUAACCAUUAGUAGGGUAGAGCAGUGGAAUAAUGAGUUUCCAACUAUAGUUAUCAUUCCAUCAGCUAUCUUUAGAACUCAACGGAAAAGUUGCAUUGCAAAUCAUCCCAGUGUAUUCAUCAUUCCAUAUUCUAGCCAUUCUUCAUACAAUGAGCUUAUCCAGUUUGUGAGAUGUGUGAGACCCAAGAAGGUAAUUCCCAUUGUACAACCACCACCAUCUAAAGCAUCUGAAGCAGUUAUUGCUAACAUGGGUAACUUCAAUCAAUAUCUAGAUCUAAACCCACCCACUCCAGUCAGUAUCCCAUCAUCUGUACAAACAUACAUGAACUCCCACCUUUCAGAAGUGGGAAGACCCAUUCUUAGAAAAAGACGGUCAGUAACUGACAUGAAGUGUGCUUCAAAGAUUGCCAAAGGUGUUGUCUUUGAAGAUACAAGCGAUGAUGAGAGUGAAUGUAAAGAAAACACAAAUGGAAAUGGCAUACAUGAAAGUACUUCUGACAGCGAUCUUGUGGAAUUAGAUUUUGAUGAAGCUCCAGAAAACAACGAGGAUGACUCCACCGAGUCUAUUUGGGAUAUGAAACCUAAUAGUAAAACUGCAUAUGGAUUUGAAAAGCUUGAUAGAUUGAAGGACAAGCUAUCUACAUGUACACAGGCUACAGAGGCUUUUCAGAACAAGGAUCAGGGAUCUGAUCAGGACAUCCAGGAUAAUGAACCAAAAGAACCACCUAGAAUGUUGCAGGUUUGUACUGGAACAUUCUACAGCAAACCUAAGUGGAUAAAGCAAUCUUCUAGGAAAAAGACUUUACACCAUGUUUGCAAACAUUCUCAGUCUGGAAAGUCUUGUCUUUGCAAGUAUCUAGUUUUCAAAGAAUCAAAUCAGAUCUCCAAAAAGAGCCUGGAUAAAUCACCCAGCAACAGUAACUCCAAGUGUACGACAAAUAGAUCAAUUUGUGACCCUUGCAAAAGUGCAAGAACUAACUUUGGUAUUGUAGCAGAUGAACCAUGUGCAUCCACACAUGCAGAAACUGUCAGUCUUCAUGAAGAUCAGCAAGCACCAAGUAUUAUGCCAGUCGACCGCAGAUCUAGAAAAGAUGUAAAAUGUUAUUCUGCUAUUCAAAAUUUUUACAAGAGGGUGAAGUCAGGUAGCAUUACAUCUUCAUGUACAUCUAGAUGAUUAGAAUAAACAAUGUAUUUCUUUGUGAAAUGGUGACCAGACUUGGCCUGAGAAUGCUAUUUUUAUAUUAUUUUUAGUUAUUCAAAACCCCCCCCAAAAAAUAAAAAAUAAAAAAAAACUAAAAAAAUACACAUAAUUCUCUUUCCUGUGUUGGAAUAUGAUCCAGAGUGAAUAGAGAUAUUGAUGGAACAUGUACAUGUAAUCAGUCAUUAAAUUUGGUAUUCAGAAUUUCAUAAAGUAAAUCAUUUGAGAAUAGUGCAAUACCUUAAUGCAAAUUUUCUCUUCUAAUAUGAGGCUUUUUUUGGCAGCAGUCCUUGGGUCUACUUUAUCAUUUUACAUUAGAAUUCACAUACAUGUACAUGUAAAGCAGAUUCAAUAGGUAGGUAUUGCUACAUGUACAUGUAAACUGAGCCCAUUUAACAAAAUCAAAAAGCCAUGGAUGUUCCCAACAACAUUGAGUUCUGAAUCUUGAUCAAUGAUAUUGAAAGUUGGUAAUAUUAGCAUGUGAUUUUCUUUCUAAGUCAGUAAUGUUAGAUACAUGUAUAUUCUUUAAAGUACAUGUAGCUGGCAGACUGCCAUAAUAUGCUGAAACUACUUCUUUUAAUGUGGACUUGUCUACUGUCGAUUGUUUCAACUACAGAAUGGGGAAACCAUAACUGGAUUGUGAUCGGAUUGGACAGAUACUGUGUUCCAGAAAUUCUGAUUCAGGCCUAUUAAGAACAUUCAAAUAACUGAUUUAUUCAAAUGCCUUUUCACUACAAAUUUCAGUAGUUGGUAUUGGUUACCAUGCCAGACUCUACUCCUGUGUAAAGUGUUGUAAUUAUGGUUGUAGGGAUAAGGUUUCAUGUUGGUAGAGGUUUUAGGAAGAAGGCUUUUUUUAUGUUAAAGGGAAAUGAAACCUUUGGAACAAGUAGGCUUGUGUCAAAACAGAAAAAUCAAAGA
RNAcentral lists this unclassified non-coding RNA (3005 nucleotides) under Lytechinus variegatus (green sea urchin). RNAcentral's name for it is "5' exonuclease Apollo-like, transcript variant X1". The record is from RNAcentral. Lineage: Eukaryota; Metazoa; Echinodermata; Echinoidea; Temnopleuroida; Toxopneustidae.